GAACCACAAAAGUCUGCCAGUUUCACCAAAGUGGAUGCAGUAAUCAUGUCACAUUACUCACUGCUAGUUAAACUGGUCAUCCGCCUCAGCCUGAGGUGUGACCCCAUAUCACACUCCCAUGUGAUAACGUCACAGCUCCAACACAGACUCUCGCCUCUGAGAUCACGGCACUAAGAAGACAGCAAUGAUCUCAGCUGGUCUGAUCAAACUCUCUGCAGUUCUGCUCUGCGUAGCUUUAGUUGAUGGCAGCGAUGUCGAGCAGACUCCACUUCUCUGGAGGAACGAGAGUCAAUCGGCCACGCUGAAAUGCAGCCACACUAAAGAUGCCACCUACUUCCAGAUGUACUGGUACAGACAGCGGUCAGGAGAAAUGAUGAAACAAAUCGUCUUCACGACGAAUUCUCCCCCGCACCAGUACGAGAGCGGCUUCAGCAAGGACAGAUUCCCAGCAAACAAAACCGACGCUCAGACCGGAUAUUUGUCGGUGGUUGAGCUGCAACCCGGAGACGCUGCAGUGUACUUCUGUGCCGUGAGUCAACACGCUGAUGCAAGAGACUAAGAGAGCUGCACAAAAACCCAACUACUGGCGUCAGUGAAGAGGAAUCACACCGCACUACUGCUGAUGAACAACAGGGGGCGCUGUAGCCAAACACCAGCACUGAUCUAAUGUAAAAAAAACAAUGACAGACACUGAAACAGUAAAGUUCAACUACAGUAAUGUGAGGGGACAGUUCAAUAGGAUGAUGCAACACCAACACCACCCACAAAUAAGGCUCUAGCAAUGGGAGGGCUUGUGGCUCCACAUCCUGACUGUGACUGUGGGAGCACAGCUUAUUCUUCAUAUCAG
Molecule: non-coding RNA, 847 nt
Organism: Betta splendens (Siamese fighting fish)
Lineage: Eukaryota; Metazoa; Chordata; Actinopteri; Anabantiformes; Osphronemidae
Source: the annotation of a RefSeq genome assembly